UGGGGAAUUUUGGACAAUGGGCGAAAGCCUGAUCCAGCAAUGCCGCGUGUGUGAAGAAGGCCUUCGGGUUGUAAAGCACUUUUGUCCGGAAAGAAAUCCUUGGCUCUAAUACAGUCGGGGGAUGACGGUACCGGAAGAAUAAGCACCGGCUAACUACGUGCCAGCAGCCGCGGUAAUACGUAGGGUGCAAGCGUUAAUCGGAAUUACUGGGCGUAAAGCGUGCGCAGGCGGUUUGCUAAGACCGAUGUGAAAUCCCCGGGCUCAACCUGGGAACUGCAUUGGUGACUGGCAGGCUAGAGUAUGGCAGAGGGGGGUAGAAUUCCACGUGUAGCAGUGAAAUGCGUAGAGAUGUGGAGGAAUACCGAUGGCGAAGGCAGCCCCCUGGGCCAAUACUGACGCUCAUGCACGAAAGCGUGGGGAGCAAACAGGAUUAGAUACCCUGGUAGUCCACGCCCUAAACGAUGUCAACUAGUUGUUGGGGAUUCAUUCCUUAGUAACGUAGCUAACGCGUGAAGUUGACCGCCUGGGGAGUACGGUCGCAAGAUUAAAACUUAAAGGAAUUGACGGGGUCAUAGCUGUUUCC
Molecule: ribosomal RNA, 583 nt
Filed under: uncultured bacterium
Lineage: Bacteria
Description: partial 16S ribosomal RNA
Rfam family: Bacterial small subunit ribosomal RNA
Source: RNAcentral